ACUGGCUUUAAUGUUUGUAAGUAUUCAAGUCAUUUAUUCAAAGUACAGUCCGUACAAAAUGACUUCUCACGCGCCAUUUUAACUCUAUGGGUCAACUCUCAUGUCAAAACUACGGUUCACGUUUAAAAUAAGGACUGAAAUCGCACUUUGACGUGAUAUUUUGACACAUAAUGACAAAAUAGCGCUUGAGAAGUCAUUUUU
Maniola jurtina (meadow brown) is the source of this 201-nucleotide long non-coding RNA. RefSeq lists it as uncharacterized. The record is from RefSeq and is a predicted model, not a curated record. The transcript has 3 exons. Lineage: Eukaryota; Metazoa; Arthropoda; Insecta; Lepidoptera; Nymphalidae.